Molecule: ribosomal RNA, 245 nt
Filed under: uncultured archaeon
Lineage: Archaea
Description: partial 16S ribosomal RNA
Rfam family: Archaeal small subunit ribosomal RNA
Source: RNAcentral
CACCGGCGGCUCGAGUGGUGGCCGCUUUUAUUGGGCUUAAAGGGUCCGUAGCCGGGCCAGUUAGUCCUCUGGGAAAUCUUACGGCUUAACCGUAAGGCUGCCAAAGGAUACUGCUGGCCUUGGGACCGGGAGAGGCAAGAGGUACCUCAGGGGUAGGAGUGAAAUCCUGUAAUCCUUGAGGGACCGCCAGUGGCGAAGGCGUCUUGCUAGAACGGGUCCGACGGUGAGGGACGAAAGCUAGGGGC